Molecule: transfer RNA, 72 nt
Filed under: Oleispira antarctica RB-8
Lineage: Bacteria; Pseudomonadati; Pseudomonadota; Gammaproteobacteria; Oceanospirillales; Oceanospirillaceae
Description: transfer RNA-Pseudo
Source: RNAcentral
CCACCCUUAGCUCAGUUGGAUAGAGCGCUGCCCUCCGAAGGCAGACUUGAAAAUAUGGGCACUUAGGGGGUA